Molecule: long non-coding RNA, 312 nt
Filed under: Coffea arabica (coffee)
Lineage: Eukaryota; Viridiplantae; Streptophyta; Magnoliopsida; Gentianales; Rubiaceae
Description: long non-coding RNA (CARA_LNC002853)
Source: RNAcentral
GAAAUCUUACCCUUACUCUCGGCCCCCUUUUUUUAACAAAAUUUCUUUCACCAAUAUUACUUCAAAUUUCUCCCAAAAACCAGUGAAUGUAUUCAUACAUGUCAUGAUUAAAACAUUAAAAGUUAACGAGCCAAAAGGUGCAAGUUUGCAGCCAACAUUUUAGAGCUAAAUUUAAAAAAAUUGUUGCUACAUACUCUCGGGUUUCAAGCAAGAAAAUCCAGCGAUAUCAUUCUAUUUUUCCUUAUAGCGUUUAGAUUUAUAACACCAAAACAAAUACCAAACAAGGCUGUAAAUAUCAUACUAAACCAAGGU